This 223-nucleotide unclassified non-coding RNA is filed under the name plant metagenome. Its description in RNAcentral is "partial contains small subunit ribosomal RNA, internal transcribed spacer 1, and 5.8S ribosomal RNA". The record is from RNAcentral.
UCUCCGUUGGUGAACAGCGGAGGGAUCAUUACAGGACUCGCAAGACUCCUUCACCCUGUGGACCUUACUACAAGCACGUUGCUUCGGCGGGUGUCCCGGCGGGGGUUUUCCCUCGCCGGGGCGCACAGCCCGCCGGCAGCCUACUAUACUCUGUCUCUUUGCGUUGGCAUCUCGAGAAAAAACAAACAAGUUAAAACUUUCAACAACGGAUCUCUUGGUUCUG